UGCACAGCAAGACAGGUUUGCUCGAGCCGUUGUUGUGUGCCAUUGUAUGCAGUCUGCAAGAAGGUUAGCAAUGUCAUUCCCUCACACAGCCCAUCGCAUGGUUGGUAAGACAAAGAAAUCCUUUUAUGGAAGCCUUAGGAAAAAAACCUGCUGCCACAUCCCAUGCCCGAUGAACCAGCACCCGCUGGCCACCCUUCGGUCACACAGCACGGUCUCCCAGUGUUGCAGGCGCCUGCGAUGUCGGGGCCAGUUGACCAAACUGAAAUAAGAGUGGACUUGAGCAAGGCAGGCAGCACACACUUGCUUGGUGGCGGGAGUUCACCAUCACCAUGGAGCAAACCAAGCAUUGAAGAUCUCGUUGAUGCAACAAGGCCUCCGCUACUUUCUGGGACAACUGGGCCAGCAUAGUGUAAUUUAUUUUGUUAGAACCAGGAGCUGUCUUCUUACCAGAAGAAAUUACUCUGUUUA
Molecule: long non-coding RNA, 468 nt
Organism: Dermacentor albipictus
Lineage: Eukaryota; Metazoa; Arthropoda; Arachnida; Ixodida; Ixodidae
Source: RefSeq, a predicted model, not a curated record